Molecule: ribosomal RNA, 392 nt
Filed under: uncultured bacterium
Lineage: Bacteria
Description: partial 16S ribosomal RNA
Rfam family: Bacterial small subunit ribosomal RNA
Source: RNAcentral
AUACGGAGGAUCCGAGCGUUAUCCGGAUUUAUUGGGUUUAAAGGGUGCGCAGGCGGCCAUUUAAGUCAGCGGUUAAAUCGUGGGGCUCAACCCCAUUCUGCCGUUGAUACUGGGUGGCUUGAUUGCGGUCGAGGUUGGCGGAAUUCGUUGUGUAGCGGUGAAAUGCAUAGAUAUGACGAAGAACACCGAUUGCGUAGGCAGCUGACCAGAUCGCAAAUGACGCUCAUGCACGAAAGUGCGGGGAUCGAACAGGAUUAGGUACCCUGGUAGUCCGCACAGUAAACGAUGAAUACUUGUUUUCGGCGAUAUAAUGUCGGAGGCAAAGCGAAAGCGAUAAGUAUUCCACCUGGGGAGUACGCCGGCAACGGUGAAACUCAAAUGAAUUGACGGGG